This 2138-nucleotide small RNA is filed under the name Pongo abelii (Sumatran orangutan). RNAcentral's name for it is "retained intron". The record is from RNAcentral. Lineage: Eukaryota; Metazoa; Chordata; Mammalia; Primates; Hominidae.
CUGAGCCCCAUCCCGCGCCGUCUCCCUCCUCCAGGGCCAAGGAGCGGCCCCCGCGCGCGCGGCCCGCCAGCACCUCUCCGUCCCCGGGCGCGCACGGCCGGCGCGGCGGCCCGGAAGGGAAGAGCUCGUCGCGCAGCCCCGGCCCGCACCCCCGCUCCUGGAGCUCCAGCCGCUCGCCCUCCAAAUCGCGCUCGCGCUCCGCGGAGAAGCGGCCCCGCAGCCCCAGCCGCUCGCCGUCCCCCAAGAAGCCCCUCAGCCGGGACAAGGACGGCGAGGGCCGCGCAAGGCACUCUGAGGCCGAGGCCGCCCGCGCCCGGCGCCGCUCCCGCAGCUACUCGCCCAUCCGCAAGCGGCGCCGGGACUCGCCAAGCUUCAUGGAGCCGCGGCGCAUCACCAGGUCCAGCCUGCUGAGUGGCCUGUGGUCAGCCUGGGGGCCAGGCGGACCCCUCUGCACAGGCUGCCUGGGAGAUGCCCAACGCACGCAAGCGUCCUAUUCCAUACUACCGGCCCAGCCCCUCUUCCUCCUCCAGCUGCUUGAGCAGCGACUACUCCACCCGGAGCCACAGCCGCAGCCCCAGCCCCGGCCACAGCCAUGGGAGCUACAGCAGUCGCAGUCAUGGGACCCGCAGCCGGACACGCAGCCCCUCGAGGACCCCCAGUCCCAGCUACCACAGCCGGAGCAGCUCUGAGAGCGGGGGCUUCUGAGCCCAGACAGACUCAGCUUGGUGCCCCCCUGGCACUGGGAGAGGCGAGGGGCAGGCCCCAGGACCCCGGCGGGGAGGGGGGCUGUACCUCCUUGCCCCCAAGGCUACAAAGAGGUCUCAGGGCCAGUGCACGGGCAGGUGGGACCGGGGAAGACUUUGAGGGUGGGCACCCGGUGGACAAGGAGAAGCCAGAUGUGCUGCUUCUAAGGGUGUCCUCUCCCACCUCCUGUCCAUCCACUGUGCCCGGGGAACAAAGAGCUGUUAUGAACACAGGGAUCUCCCCACCCACCUUCCUGCUAAUGCCAACUCACCAGGCUUGGGACUGCUGCCGGUGGAUGGUACCAGAGUCCACGAUCUUCUCUGUCACUUCACCUUAGCUCAGUGCAGCCAGGGACACCUUGCAAGGUGCCAGCCCUGGGAGCCCCUCUUCCCCACUGCACAGCUCCCUCCACUCCUCUCUUAUCACUGGGCAGACGAGAAGGUGGUACAGCACGCGGGAUCGGAGCUAGACAGAAAGAACAGCCUAACCCUUGGUGCACUCCCAUCCAAGCUGGGGAGCUGCGUCCUUUUGAGCUGGCUGCAGGAGGACCCUGGCUGAGGGCUGGUGGCUGGCCCCACAGCCUCCCCCAAGCUCCUCCACUGACCCAGGAGUGCCUAGACGGGUGGCCUCCAAAAUCCCAGCUGGGGAGCUAGGCACUUCACUCUUGGUCUGACCUCUCCAGGCCAGGCUCUCCUCACCCCAUGCCCUGGGCCAGGUCCUACCAGCCAUGACUUCUGCAUGACAAGAGGUGGGGGGUACAGACCUCAGGUACAUUUGACCCUGAGGUCAAAAGGGGUUCAGGUCAAGAGGUGGGAGAGGAAAGGGGUAGACGGGAGGUGGAAUCUGUAGGAAAGAGAAAAAGCAAAGUCAUUCACUGACUGAGCAGCCCCCGGGGAGUGGAGACGGGUCCCCGGGGAGGGAGCAGGUGACAGGUCAGCAGUGCCCCCAGCCCCACCCAAGAGGAGGGCAGCGUGUGCCUGUGGUCUGGGACGUGGGCUGGAUGGCAGUCACAGGCAUAGGAUAACAUGUGCUUUGGACCUGCCAAGGGAGUCUUGGGGUCUGAUGGGGUCAUGGCCAGCCGAGCCUCUGCAGAGACGGAGGCUACAGCUCUCAGAAGGGAGGGGAGGAAAGAGACUGAGGGCCCUGGCCUGGGGCGUCGAUGGAGGAAGCGGUGGCCCCCAGUCCUCUUCUGCUGCUCCCAGCCCCCUCCUCCUGGGGCCCUCAGGGAUCUCACAAAGUCUUCCUUGGCCCAACCAGGCAGAUGCCCCGGGCUCCAGUGGGGGGAGGGGUCUGGGGUCUGGUCCGGGUUCCCCACUUUCUCUAUGUCCCCCCUCCCUCUUUCUCCGUGGGUGCGGAUAAAAAUUGGACUCGAAUAAAACCCUUGGUGCCCGGAU